AACGAACGCUGGCGGCAUGCCUAACACAUGCAAGUCGAACGAAGCCUUCGGGCUUAGUGGCGCACGGGUGCGUAACGCGUGGGAAUCUGCCCCUUGCUUCGGAAUAACAGUUAGAAAUGACUGCUAAUACCGGAUGAAGUCUUCGGACCAAAGAUUUAUCGUCCAGGGAUGAGCCCGCGUAGGAUUAGGUAGUUGGUGGGGUAAAGGCCUACCAAGCCGACGAUCCUUAGCUGGUCUGAGAGGAUGAUCAGCCACACUGGGACUGAGACACGGCCCAGACUCCUACGGGAGGCAGGAGUGGGGAAUAUUGGACAAUGGACGCAAGUCUGAUCCAGCAAUGCCGCGUGAGUGAUGAAGGCCUUAGGGUCGUAAAGCUCUUUUACCAGGGAUGAUAAUGACAGUACCUGGAGAAUAAGCACCGGCUAACUCCGUG
RNAcentral lists this ribosomal RNA (433 nucleotides) under uncultured bacterium. RNAcentral's name for it is "partial 16S ribosomal RNA". It matches the Rfam family "Bacterial small subunit ribosomal RNA", at positions 29 to 507 of the family's 1533-position model. The record is from RNAcentral.